AUUGAACGCUGGCGGCAGGCUUAACACAUGCAAGUCGAGCGGGGGAAGGUAGCUUGCUACCGGACCUAGCGGCGGACGGGUGAGUAAUGCUUAGGAAUCUGCCUAUUAGUGGGGGACAACAUCUCGAAAGGGAUGCUAAUACCGCAUACGUCCUACGGGAGAAAGCAGGGGAUCUUCGGACCUUGCGCUAAUAGAUGAGCCUAAGUCGGAUUAGCUAGUUGGUGGGGUAAAGGCCUACCAAGGCGACGAUCUGUAGCGGGCCUGAGAGGAUGUACCGCCAAACUGGGAACGAGACACGGCCCAGACUCCCACGGGAGGCAGCAGUGGGGAAUAUUGGACAAUGGGGGGAACCCUGAUCCAGCCAUGCCGCGUGUGUGAAGAAGGCCUUAUGGUUGUAAAGCACUUUAAGCGAGGAGGAGGCUACUUUAGUUAAUACCUAGAGAUAGUGGACGUUACUCGCAGAAUAAGCACCGGCUAACUCUGUGCCAGCCGCCGCAGUAA
RNAcentral lists this ribosomal RNA (501 nucleotides) under uncultured bacterium. RNAcentral's name for it is "partial 16S ribosomal RNA". It matches the Rfam family "Bacterial small subunit ribosomal RNA", at positions 30 to 523 of the family's 1533-position model. The record is from RNAcentral.